UCCGUAGGCGGGCGUCUAAGUCAGUGGUGAAAUCUUACAGCUCAACUGUAAAAUUGCCAUUGAUACUGGAUGUCUUGAAUUAGUGUGAAGUGGUUAGAAUGUAUAGUGUAGCGGUGAAAUGCAUAGAUAUUACACAGAAUACCAAUUGCGAAGGCAGAUCACUAACACUAUAUUGACGCUGAGGGACGAAAGCGUGGGGAGCGAACAGGAUUAGAUACCCUGGUAGUCC
This 229-nucleotide ribosomal RNA is filed under the name uncultured bacterium. RNAcentral's name for it is "partial 16S ribosomal RNA". It matches the Rfam family "Bacterial small subunit ribosomal RNA", at positions 568 to 796 of the family's 1533-position model. The record is from RNAcentral.